This 1140-nucleotide long non-coding RNA is filed under the name Betta splendens (Siamese fighting fish). Its description in RNAcentral is "lncRNA (ENSBSLG00000020065.1)". Lineage: Eukaryota; Metazoa; Chordata; Actinopteri; Anabantiformes; Osphronemidae. The record is from RNAcentral.
AUGCCAGGCGUGCUACCUGGCUGCUAUGGAACAGAAGAUUUCCGGCCUCACCGCCCCAUCCUGAGCCCCGGAUCGGGGGUGGGGGGUGGGCCGGGGCAGCAACAUACCACUGCUGGGACAGGAGUUGGGGGAGUCUCCAGCAGUGUAGAGAGACCAGGAGCGGGGAGCGGUCCUGGGGGGAGCAGCAACAACAGCGGCAGCUCCUUCCUGGGUUCCCUAUUUGGCAGCAAACGCGCCAAACCACCAGGGCCCCUUAUCCCACCGGGGCCACCCUACCCCGCACCUGUACCCCCACCGACUACUGGAGGGCCCCCUCCUCACUCCCCUUCAUCGCUGUGCCAGCUGGAGGGGGGCCCUUCCAAGAUCCAGGCGCUGCACGCACAGUACUGUCACAUGGCCGCCGUGCAGCCCCCACCACCUUAUUACCAUCACCAUCGCUACCACGUCCAAACUGUCCCCCCUCCUUUGCAAGGUGUGCCCCCUCAUACUAUACAGAGAGGCCCACUACCCUGUCGUCCACCGCUUGGCCCACCACACGCCCCGCACCCGCAGCUGGCCCAUCUCUCCCAGCUUUCCCAGCAUGGGCUUCCGGGUCGCUACGCCAACAUGGUGGUGGGAUGUCCCCCCCCCCUUUCUCCUCUCUCCCAACAUUCCCAGAACCCACAGUUCGCAUUGUACCACGUGCAGCCCACACACUCUGUCAGAGGGGGCGGCGGCCCUGGUGCCAAACCGCCACUAACCCUGUCCCACUCCCAUCCGCACCCCCACGCACACUCCCAAACCCACCCAGGACACGUGCACACACCACACCCAGCCAGCCACUCCACCCAUCAAACACACUUCAUAUUCGGCACCCUGCCCCACAACCUUCCGUCCGCAUCCGUCAAUGCGCAUCACGCAGCGCCCGCCGUCCCGUAUCUGCCCCAGUACCCUCCUCUCUCUUCUAUCCCCCCUCCCCCACCACACUCCCCUUUACCCCCCCCUUCGUCCCCCCUUACCCCUCUUACACCUCUCUCCCCUCACCCCCCCCAGCACCCCGGGCAGCCUCAGCAGGGGCCACAGGUGACGGGGGCUGGAUCGACAGGUACAGGGGGCAGCUCCAAAUCCAAGCCUAUCAACCGGAUAAGUACCGUAGUGUGA